AGGAGCACCUCACUGUCUCCCUCUGCCCACCCACCUGCACCUGACAGCUGUGGGCUGUGCUCUCAGGGAGGCACCGUCAGAUGCUACCAGACUACAGAGGAGAGCACCCUCAAUCCUGACUGAAGGUUUGGGAAAAGGCUGCUCAGAAGAGGUGAUACUUGAUAUGGGCCCUGGAGGAGGAGAAGCAGUUUGAGAAGACAGCAGUGAGAGAUGGCAUCCGGGCAGGCGAGAAAUGUCCUGAGCACCAAGGGUACAGUCAGAAAUGAUGAAUCCAGAAAUGAUGCCCUCCAGAACUUCUGGUGAGGAAGGCACUCAGGAAAAUGCAGCACCCUAUGGAGGCCCAGAAAGGAGGGCAUUCAGGAAGAACACAGUCUGAUGGUGUCAAGUGCAGCGGAGGCUAAGAGCCUCAGUGCCUCCUUCAGAGAUGCGGUGGAUAUUAGCUUCUGUUGUAUCCUUCAUACAGAACCUGGUGCUGAGAGACAGCUUCUUCUUUUUUUUUUUUUCUUUAAACUUUUCUUAAGACUAGUCAAGUACAGUAUCAAGAAGACGGGAAAGAGUAGAACAAGGAAUUGGAUCCGUAACUGACUGUGAACAAUCAAUUGAGGUAACUCAUUACCUUUGAACCAACCUGGGAGGCAGCCUUGUGACUCACCUCAAUCCUCAAUCUUCUCAGCUAGUUCACUUUGGCCUGGCUCAGGGGCUGACCUAGAAUGAUCCUGUCCAGAAGGACCCUGGAUGUUCUUAGAGACACAGACUGCUAGGGCUGGCAGGGACUUUUCAUCCAAUUCCUCUGUGACAGAGGAGGAAGUGGAGGUGCAGAAGGAGAGGUGAGCUGCCUGUGGUCCUUCAGCUUACUAAUGGCAGUGUUAGGACUGGACCUGAGGGCUCUUCCCUCCAGUCCGGCGCUAUUUAUUCCAUGACAGUGCCUCUCAAACUGUGUUCUCACAAGCAGCUAGUGCUCAGGCAGCUGGACUGAGGCCCUGCCUGCCAAAUCAAAUAUUGGAGGUCUUUCUCCAAUGUGCAGAAAAAAAAAGUAAUUAAUGGGUUAAGUUUCCUUAGGGUUAAAUUAUUUUUCCAUUAAUGCUUCUUAAACCAUUGUCACCUGCUACCAAUUGUCUACUAGCCAAUGCAUGCAGGCAACAAAACAAAAGGAUAAGCCACAAGUAAAUAAGAACAAGAACAACCAAAGCCUUGGAAACACACCAUCAUUCUUAAGUUAAAGGCUUAAAAAAAAAAUAGAGGAAGACUGCUAUGACUGUGGACUUUCUAUUGCAUUCACAUAAUAAAAUCAUGCGACAUUGUUUUGAAUUCAAAUGCUAAAAGUAAA
Molecule: long non-coding RNA, 1327 nt
Filed under: Homo sapiens (human)
Lineage: Eukaryota; Metazoa; Chordata; Mammalia; Primates; Hominidae
Description: HSALNT0301574
Source: RNAcentral